ACUCUCAUGGAUCAAAAUUCACUUUGAUUCGAUUUCAAUCGACCACCCGAUCGCCAAAUGACUCUGUUCCUUCAGCCUAUAUAUAGCCUCAGAGCUUGCUAAUUUUAAACCCUAGAUCUCAGUUCAUCAAAAUAACCUCCAUUUCGACACUGAAGAUCGAUGAUCCUGGCUAAAGUAUAGGUGAAAGUAAUGGCGAGCAUAUGUUUGUUUUGUUCUACAUUGGUUUGUGACGAGAAGGGGAGGGCAAGGAGAUUAUGUGAGGCCUUUUGCUGAUUGUAGUUGAUGCUAUCCAUGUUUGAUAAAAUAUCAUCUUCAUAAUCAUGUUAACCUUAGAUGUCGAAGGAUUGUGAAGUAUUCUAAUCUAUGAGCUGCCCCAAUGCAUAUCUUAAGACGUUGCAUCCAUGUGAAACAUGUGCAAACAUAAGCUGUGUUGCACAUGUUUCACGUGGAUGUAACUUCUAUAGAUAUGCAUUGAUGCUGUUCGUGGAUGAGAAUAUCUUUAUAAUCCUUUGUGGUUGGAAGCCUAUGAUUUCACUUUCACAUCAUUAUGUCUCAAAGAAGUAGUAGAUUAUACGAGGCUUUGUUACUGAUUGUAGUCGGCGCCAACCAUGUAUGAUAGUGUUAUCCUUGUAAUCAUAUAUAGGCAUCAUUAUGACCUAAAAACCCAAAGGUUUGUGAAGAUAUUCUAGUCCAUGUGCAACCUCAAUGCAUAUCCGGAGGCGUUGUAUCCAUGUGAAACAUGUGCAAGCAAUAACACGUGUUGCUCAUGUUAGACGUGGAUUCAACGUCUCCAGAUAUGCAUUGAGGCUGUUCGUGAACGAGAAUGUCUUCAUAAUCCUUCCUUUGUGGUUGCCGAUGUUUUCGCAUUUUAUUAUGUCUCAUAUUGUAGACUAUUAAGUUUAUCAAGUAGUUGAUGCCAUUCAUAUAUGAUAAAGCGUGCUAACACUUUCAAA
Long non-coding RNA from Cynara cardunculus var. scolymus (artichoke), 953 nucleotides. RefSeq lists it as uncharacterized. Lineage: Eukaryota; Viridiplantae; Streptophyta; Magnoliopsida; Asterales; Asteraceae. The transcript has 2 exons. The record is from RefSeq and is a predicted model, not a curated record.